Molecule: ribosomal RNA, 301 nt
Filed under: uncultured bacterium
Lineage: Bacteria
Description: partial 16S ribosomal RNA
Rfam family: Bacterial small subunit ribosomal RNA
Source: RNAcentral
CAGCCGCCGCGGUAAUACAGAGGGUGCGAGCGUUAAUCGGAUUUACUGGGCGUAAAGCGUGCGUAGGCGGCUUCUUAAGUCGGAUGUGAAAUCCCUGAGCUUAACUUAGGAAUUGCAUUCGAUACUGGGAAGCUAGAGUAUGGGAGAGGAUGGUAGAAUUCCAGGUGUAGCGGUGAAAUGCGUAGAGAUCUGGAGGAAUACCGAUGGCGAAGGCAGUUAUCUGGCCUAAUACUGACGCUGAGGUACGAAAGCAUGGGGAGCAAACAGGAUUAGAUACCCGUGUAGUCCCUGUCUCUUAUAC